GACGAACGCUGGCGGCGUGCCUAAUACAUGCAAGUAGAACGCUGAAGAGAGGAGCUUGCUCUUCUUGGAUGAGUUGCGAACGGGUGAGUAACGCGUAGGUAACCUGCCUUGUAGCGGGGGAUAACUAUUGGAAACGAUAGCUAAUACCGCAUAACAAUGGAUGACACAUGUCAUUUAUUUGAAAGGGGCAAUUGCUCCACUACAAGAUGGACCUGCGUUGUAUUAGUUAGUAGGUGAGGCAACGGCUCACCUAGGCGACGAUACAUAGCCGACCUGAGAGGGUGAUCGGCCACACUGGGACUGAGACACGGCCCAGACUCCUACGGGAGGCAGCAGUAGGGAAUCUUCGGCAAUGGGGGCAACCCUGACCGAGCAACGCCGCGUGAGUGAAGAAGGUUUUCGGAUCGUAAAGCUCUGUCGUAAGUCAAGAACGAGUGUGAGAGUGGAAAGUUCACACUGUGACGGUAGCUUACCAGAAAGGGACGGCUAACUACGUGCCAGCAGCCGCGGUAAUACGUAGGUCCCGAGCGUUGUCCGGAUUUAUUGGGCGUAAAGCGAGCGCAGGCGGUUUGAUAAGUCUGAAGUUAAAGGCUGUGGCUCAACCAUUGUUCGCUUUGGAAACUGUCAAACUUGAGUGCAGAAGGGGAGAGUGGAAUUCCAUGUGUAGCGGUGAAAUGCGUAGAUAUAUGGAGGAACACCGGUGGCGAAAGCGGCUCUCUGGUCUGUAACUGACGCUGAGGCUCGAAAGCGUGGGGAGCGAACAGGAUUAGAUACCCUGGUAGUCCACGCCGUAAACGAUGAGUGCUAGGUGUUGGAUCCUUUCCGGGAUUCAGUGCCGCAGCUAACGCAUUAAGCACUCCGCCUGGGGAGUACGACCGCAAGGUUGAAACUCAAAGGAAUUGACGGGGGCCCGCACAAGCGGUGGAGCAUGUGGUUUAAUUCGAAGCAACGCGAAGAACCUUACCAGGUCUUGACAUCCCGAUGCUAUUUCUAGAGAUAGAAAGUUACUUCGGUACAUCGGUGACAGGUGGUGCAUGGUUGUCGUCAGCUCGUGUCGUGAGAUGUUGGGUUAAGUCCCGCAACGAGCGCAACCCCUAUUGUUAGUUGCCAUCAUUCAGUUGGGCACUCUAGCGAGACUGCCGGUAAUAAACCGGAGGAAGGUGGGGAUGACGUCAAAUCAUCAUGCCCCUUAUGACCUGGGCUACACACGUGCUACAAUGGUUGGUACAACGAGUUGCGAGUCGGUGACGGCAAGCUAAUCUCUUAAAGCCAAUCUCAGUUCGGAUUGUAGGCUGCAACUCGCCUACAUGAAGUCGGAAUCGCUAGUAAUCGCGGAUCAGCACGCCGCGGUGAAUACGUUCCCGGGCCU
RNAcentral lists this ribosomal RNA (1369 nucleotides) under uncultured bacterium. Its description in RNAcentral is "bacterial SSU rRNA". It matches the Rfam family "Bacterial small subunit ribosomal RNA", at positions 28 to 1381 of the family's 1533-position model. The record is from RNAcentral.